UACGGGGGGGGCAAGCGUUGUUCGGAAUUACUGGGCGUAAAGGGCUCGUAGGCGGCCAACUAAGUCAAACGUGAAAUCCCUCGGCUUAACCGGGGAACUGCGUCUGAUACUGGAUGGCUUGAGUGUGGGAGAGGGAUGCGGAAUUCCAGGUGUAGCGGUGAAAUGCGUAGAUAUCUGGAGGAACACCGGUGGCGAAGGCGGCAUCCUGGACCAUUACUGACACUGAAUAGCGAAAGCCAGGGGAGCAAACGGG
RNAcentral lists this ribosomal RNA (253 nucleotides) under uncultured bacterium. Its description in RNAcentral is "partial 16S ribosomal RNA". It matches the Rfam family "Bacterial small subunit ribosomal RNA", at positions 524 to 776 of the family's 1533-position model. The record is from RNAcentral.